RNAcentral lists this long non-coding RNA (827 nucleotides) under Mus musculus (house mouse). RNAcentral describes it as "predicted gene, 49710". The record is from RNAcentral. Lineage: Eukaryota; Metazoa; Chordata; Mammalia; Rodentia; Muridae.
GGUCUGGCUCUGGAACUAAGCUCUUCCAUUCCUCGGGGAGCUGCAGGCCGGUUUUCUGCUGAUUUGUGUAGCUGAACACACAAGGGAGGAGGAUUCACAGGGAGCAUAGAAGAGCUGAGGAAGACCGGGCACGCUGAACCCAAGACUACCAGCCCAGGGAUGCCACCACCGACAAGAGGCCCUCCCCCUCUUGACCGCCAACAAAGAAGAUGCCCCACAGCUGGAUCUCAUGGAGACAUUUCCCCAACUGAAGCUCCUUUCUCUGUGAUAACUCUAGCCUGUGUCAAGUUGACGCACAAAACUAGCCAGUACAGUGGAGAAGAGGGAUUUUCGUUAUCUGACGUUGCCUGCUGCUCCUAUAAAGGAAAUCAACAUGUUGAGCAGCUGAGGAAACAAGAGAGAGACCCCCCUAACUGAGAGACCCUCCUGACUGAGAGACCCCCCGACUGAGAGACCCUCUGACUGAAGAUUUGUGCUAAGUCUGUGGAUCUACGGGUCUCCCGCUUACCUUCUCCAAGUGCAUGGCUGCAAAAGUGACUUACAUAUCGCUGCAUGUACUUCAGUGCUGGAGGGCACGGUCCACAGAAGUAAGAACAGGCACCAUCAGGAACAGUAUGCAAAUUGGGAUGUGAGGAAAACUCAUUUGGUUCUCCAUCUGUCUCCCUGUUUAAUUACUUAGCCAUAAAUUAGCACUUUUUACUAGCUAUGUUCCGAAAAUGUGAUCAAUUCCCUGACUUUAAUGUCAAACCAGGAAUAUUUUUGGGCUUUCAAGUGUUUAGCCUUUUAAUUUACAUUCCCAUUCUAAAAUAUAAAUGAGCUGUUGAAAU